Molecule: ribosomal RNA, 295 nt
Filed under: uncultured bacterium
Lineage: Bacteria
Description: partial 16S ribosomal RNA
Rfam family: Bacterial small subunit ribosomal RNA
Source: RNAcentral
GGAUUAGAUACCCUGGUAGUCCACGCCGUAAACGAUGUGUGCUAGUUGUCAGGGGCUUAGCCCUUGGUGACGCCGCAAACGCAUUAAGCACACCGCCUGGGGAGUACGGUCGCAAGAUUAAAACUCAAAGGAAUUGACGGGGACCCGCACAAGCGGUGGAGCAUGUUGUUUAAUUCGAAGCAACGCGAAGAACCUUACCUACACUUGACAUCCCGAUCGCGGUUACCAGAGAUGGUUUCCUUCAGCUCGGCUGGAUCGGUGACAGGUGCUGCAUGGCUGUCGUCAGCUCGUGUCG